This 305-nucleotide ribosomal RNA is filed under the name uncultured bacterium. RNAcentral describes it as "bacterial SSU rRNA". It matches the Rfam family "Bacterial small subunit ribosomal RNA", at positions 336 to 637 of the family's 1533-position model. The record is from RNAcentral.
CUCCUACGGGGGGCAGCAGUGAGGAAUAUUGGUUAAUGGGCGGGAGCCUGAACCAGCCAAGUCGCGUGAGGGAAGACGGUCCUAUGGAUUGUAAACCUCUUUAGGCGGGGAGCAAUGCCGGGCACGCGUGCCCGGAGGGAGAGUACCCGCAGAAUAAGCAUCGGCUAACUACGUGCCAGCAGCCGCGGUAAUACGUAGGGAGCAAGCGUUAUCCGGAUUUAUUGGGUGUAAAGGGUGCGUAGACGGGCUAACAAGUUAGUUGUGAAAUCCCUCGGCUCAACUGAGGAACUGCAACUAAAACUAUU